This 459-nucleotide ribosomal RNA is filed under the name uncultured bacterium. Its description in RNAcentral is "partial 16S ribosomal RNA". It matches the Rfam family "Bacterial small subunit ribosomal RNA", at positions 338 to 795 of the family's 1533-position model. The record is from RNAcentral.
CCUACGGGAGGCAGCAGUGAGGAAUAUUGGUCAAUGGUCGGGAGACUGAACCAGCCAAGCCGCGUGAGGGAUGAAGGUACAGAGUAUCGUAAACCUCUUUUGUCAGGGAACAAAGGCGGGGACGUGUCCCCGGAUGAGUGUACCUGAAGAAAAAGCAUCGGCUAACUCCGUGCCAGCAGCCGCGGUAAUACGGAGGAUGCGAGCGUUAUCCGGAUUUAUUGGGUUUAAAGGGUGCGCGGGCGGUCUGUUAAGUCAGCGGUAAAAGCCGGGGGCUCAACCCCGGCCCGCCGUUGAAACUGGCAGUCUCGAGUUGGAGAGAGGUAUGCGGAAUGCGCGGUGUAGCGGUGAAAUGCAUAGAUAUCGCGCAGAACUCCGAUUGCGAAGGCAGCAUGCCGGCUCCACACUGACGCUGAGGAACGAAAGCGUGGGUAUCGAACAGGAUUAGAUACCCCUGUAGUC